This 425-nucleotide ribosomal RNA is filed under the name uncultured bacterium. Its description in RNAcentral is "bacterial SSU rRNA". It matches the Rfam family "Bacterial small subunit ribosomal RNA", at positions 354 to 796 of the family's 1533-position model. The record is from RNAcentral.
GUGGGGAAUCUUAGACAAUGGGCGCAAGCCUGAUCUAGCCAUGCCGCGUGAUCGAUGAAGGCCUUAGGGUUGUAAAGAUCUUUCAGUGGGGAAGAUAAUGACUGUACCCACAGAAGAAGCCCCGGCUAACUCCGUGCCAGCAGCCGCGGUAAUACGGAGGGGGCUAGCGUUGUUCGGAAUUACUGGGCGUAAAGCGCACGUAGGCGGACUGGAAAGUCAGGGGUGAAAUCCCGGGGCUCAACCCCGGAACUGCCUUUGAAACUCCCAGUCUUGAGGUCGAGAGAGGUGAGUGGAAUUCCGAGUGUAGAGGUGAAAUUCGUAGAUAUUCGGAGGAACACCAGUGGCGAAGGCGGCUCACUGGCUCGAUACUGACGCUGAGGUGCGAAAGCGUGGGGAGCAAACAGGAUUAGAAACCCUGGUAGUCC